GAUGAACGCUGGCGGCGUGCUUAACACAUGCAAGUCGAACGAUGAAGGACAGCUUUCUUUCUGUAGUAGUGGCGAACGGGUGAGUAACACGUGAGUAACAUGCCCUUUAUACUGGGAUAAUCCUGUUAAACUCGGUCUAAUACCGGAUAGAAGCGUACACCGCAUGUUGGGUUUUGGAAAGAUGUAUCGGUUUUGGAUGGACUCAAGGCCAAUCAGCUUGUUUGUGAGGUAGUGGAUCACCAAGGCGGCGACGGGUAACCGGCCUGAGAUGGUGAACGGCCCCAAGGGGACUGGGAGAGGGCCCAGAAGGAAACGGGGGGCAGCAGUGGGAAAUAUUGCACAAUAGGCCCAAGCCUGGUGCAGCGAUGCCGGGUGAGGAAUGCCGGCUUUAGGGUUAUAAACAUUUUUCAGUAGGAAAGAACCCAAAGUGACGGUACCUGAACAGAAAGCACCGGCUAACUACGUG
Molecule: ribosomal RNA, 466 nt
Filed under: uncultured bacterium
Lineage: Bacteria
Description: partial 16S ribosomal RNA
Rfam family: Bacterial small subunit ribosomal RNA
Source: RNAcentral